UCCUCAUGCUCCCAUGAGCCAUCCUUCACCAAAUGGUUCUACAUGGUGUUUUCUGCCCGAUUCCCUGUCCUCCUUUAUGUUUGCACCCAUCCUUCCCCUAUCUGUAUAUUUAAAGCCCUAAAUGUCUGACCCUUCUCAACUGCCCCUUUCUUCAUGAAGUUGUUCCUGCUGUCCUUCAGUCAAAAGCGAUCUCAUUCACCCUUCUUCCCACCAUACUCAUCACUUUCUACCUUGCAAUAUAAAUCUUGGUGCACCUGUCUAGUCAAAUGGUUAAAGCAUAUGCAUUUUUAGGAGAGAAUCCUUGACUUAUUCAUUUUAUAACCCUUUUAUCACCUAAAGCCAUGACUUGCACCUGGGUGCUGGAGAAAUUUCUAUCUUGUGGCCAAAUUCACUGAAAAGUUUGCCAUUUUUAUGGCCAAAGAAUUUAUGAUGGUUGGGUAGAAUUUUGAAGCAGGGACCUAUGGCAAUAGAAAUGUCUGACAAUUUUGGCCGGGCGUGGUGGCUCAAGCCUGUAAUCCCA
Molecule: long non-coding RNA, 520 nt
Organism: Cebus imitator (Panamanian white-faced capuchin)
Lineage: Eukaryota; Metazoa; Chordata; Mammalia; Primates; Cebidae
Exons: 3
Source: RefSeq, a predicted model, not a curated record